GGCGGCGAGUGGCGAACGGCUGAGUAAUACAUCGGAACAUGUCCAGUAGUGGGGGAUAGCCCGGCGAAAGCCGGAUUAAUACCGCAUACGAUCUGUGGAUGAAAGCGGGGGAUCGCAAGACCUCGCGCUAUUGGGGUGGCCGAUGGCGGAUUAGCUAGUUGGUGGGGUAAAGGCCUACCAAGGCGACGAUCCGUAGCUGGUCUGAGNNNNNGACCAGCCACACUGGGACUGAGACACGGCCCAGACUCCUACGGGAGGCAGCAGUGGGGAAUUUUGGACAAUGGGCGCAAGCCUGAUCCAGCAAUGCCGCGUGUGUGAAGAAGGCCUUCGGGUUGUAAAGCACUUUUGUCCGGAAAGAAAUCCUUUUCGAUAAUACCGAGAGGGGAUGACGGUACCGGAAGAAUAAGCACCGGCUAACUACGUGCCAGCAGCCGCGGUAAUACGUAGGGUGCGAGCGUUAAUCGGAAUUACUGGGCGUAAAGCGUGCGCAGGCGGUGAUGCAAGACCGAUGUGAAAUCCCCGGGCUUAACCUGGGAACUGCAUUGGUGACUGCAUCGCUAGAGUAUGGCAGAGGGGGGUAGAAUUCCACGUGUAGCAGUGAAAUGCGUAGAGAUGUGGAGGAAUACCGAUGGCGAAGGCAGCCCCCUGGGUCAAUACUGACGCUCAUGCA
This 670-nucleotide ribosomal RNA is filed under the name bacterium enrichment culture clone PF-1_40. Its description in RNAcentral is "bacterial SSU rRNA". It matches the Rfam family "Bacterial small subunit ribosomal RNA", at positions 87 to 753 of the family's 1533-position model. The record is from RNAcentral.